GGGGCUGUGACGCAGCGGUAGCGUGCUUCCUUAGCAAUGUAGCAUUGUCAAGAUUGGAAGAAGUCAUGGGUUCGAGUCCUAUCUGCUCCA
RNAcentral lists this transfer RNA (90 nucleotides) under Lachnellula occidentalis. It matches the Rfam family "tRNA". Rfam says of the family: Transfer RNA (tRNA) molecules are approximately 80 nucleotides in length. Their secondary structure includes four short double-helical elements and three loops (D, anti-codon, and T loops). The record is from Rfam by way of RNAcentral. Lineage: Eukaryota; Fungi; Ascomycota; Leotiomycetes; Helotiales; Lachnaceae.